Molecule: long non-coding RNA, 923 nt
Organism: Homo sapiens (human)
Lineage: Eukaryota; Metazoa; Chordata; Mammalia; Primates; Hominidae
Gene: CELF2-DT
Product: CELF2 divergent transript
Source: Ensembl
UGUGCAAACAAAAAAAGGCAACAAGCAUGCUGGGACCAUUCUGUCUGCUGUUUGGGUCUCACUUGUCCUGACAACUAAAAAUCAUCAGUGGAAAGAAGCUAGAGUCAUCCUAACAAGAGUGAUAGUCUUUCCCCAAGUGAGACCAGGCUGUGCUGUCUGGGGAAAAGCAUUGCUGGCCUUGUCGAGAUGCACCGACGACUCAGCUCAGCUAAGGACUUAACCAGUACAGGACUUGCUGCAGCGGAGCCUGAGCUGGAUAUGGAAAGCAAAAGGGUGACAUGCAAAAGGAACAUCUAAAUGCUCUUCCUGUGAUCUUUGGGGAAAGCACCCGAGUAGAAAGAGUGUCCACGGUACAUUAUCCAUGUAAAAAGUUGUGUCUGGCUACUCCCUUGAACCAGCAGAGACAGAUAUCAGGACAACAUGGCCUUAAUAUGGAGCAUAGGAUUCUUUGGACUUAAAGCUUCAUCUGAGUGCUCGGCUCCGCUUGGAUGUUUCACAGGUUCUACAGCCCCCAGCUGAAGUUAUGGUCUCCAACCACCCGCUACCUGUUCUCCCUUCCUGCUUUUCCAUCUCCAUAAAUGGCAGCACAUCUGUCCAUGGGCUUAAGAAACACCAGGACCUUCUUAUAGAGUGUCUUACAGUAUCCUUAAAGACUCCCUCCUCCGGGUGGAUCACGAGGUCAAGAGAUCGAGACCAUCCUGGCCAACAUGGUGAAACCCUGUCUCUACUAAAAAUACAAAAAUUAGCCGGGCGUGGUGGCGGGCACUUGUAAUCCCAGCUACUCGGGAGGCUGAGGCAGGAGAAUGUCGUGAACCCGGGAGGCGGAGCUUGCAGUGAGCCGAGAUCGCACCACUGCACUCCAGCCUGGGCAACAGAGGGAGACUCCGUCUCAAAAUAAAUAAAUAAAUAAAUAAAUAAAUAAA